Molecule: ribosomal RNA, 252 nt
Filed under: uncultured bacterium
Lineage: Bacteria
Description: partial 16S ribosomal RNA
Rfam family: Bacterial small subunit ribosomal RNA
Source: RNAcentral
UACGUAGGGUGCGAGCGUUGUCCGGAAUUAUUGGGCGUAAAGGGCUCGUAGGCGGUUUGUCGCGUCAGGAGUGAAAACUCGGGGCUUAACCCCGAGCCUGCUUCUGAUACGGGCAGACUAGAGGUAUGCAGGGGAGAACGGAAUUCCUGGUGUAGCGGUGAAAUGCGCAGAUAUCAGGAGAAACACCAAUUGCGAAGGCAGCUCGCUGGGACGUUACUGAGCUGAUGCGCGAAAGCGUGGGGAGCAAACAGG